Tyto alba (common barn owl) is the source of this 2761-nucleotide long non-coding RNA. RefSeq lists it as uncharacterized. The transcript has 3 exons. The record is from RefSeq and is a predicted model, not a curated record. NCBI's taxonomy places the organism in Eukaryota, Metazoa, Chordata, Aves, Strigiformes, Tytonidae.
AAUAACUACAUUAUGUAUGUAACUUUUAUGCAUGUACAUUUGCUUCUCUCUAUUUGUAUUACUAAAGAUCUUGCUGUUUCUGGCACUGAAGUCAUAAUAAUCUGUGACAUAAGCAAUUUCGGGCUCCAGCUGAGAAAAAUGGGCUGAACUCCGUAACAUACUUGAAGUUCUCCACUGCCAUUGGCAGCUGCAAGAUGCAGUUCAAUGAGACAGUGCAAGUGAUCUACUGCCUGUCUGAUUUAGGUUAGAAGAAGAGUCUGGGGUAUGUGGAAGUACAGUUUUGGAGGCAGAGAAAGAAGAAAAGCCCAGACGAGUGGGAAGCCCUUCACUGACAACUUGCAGUGUGUAUGUUCUGAUGGCUUACAGCACAGCAAGUAUAUCACUCGUGGGGACAUUUGAAAAAGAGAAUGAAGGACCCAUCUCAGAUGAAGAACCAGACAAGGAUGGGGUAUACAGAAAGUGAUAGAAGGAUUUUGCACAGGAUUUAUUGGAUUAGUAUCGGAAAAGUGGAGGAGAGGUUGGAUUAGGGUAGAAGCAAGGGAAGGGGAAAGUAAAAUAUCCUUUAACUGUACACAGGAAAAUCAGGGAGAUUUCCAAGGUCUGCCUCUGUCCCUUGCAGUACUUUGCCUGAAUGCACUGCCCUGUGCAGAAUAUGAUCCCUCCCUCAAAAGGAGGGCAUUCACUAUUAAUUUCUGUGCAUUCUGCCCUCAGAAGUAGAGGAGCUGUUUUUGUGUGGUCUUACAACAUCUGUAAUUUGUCUGAAAUACUGAAAGAAGGCUCUCAAGACUCUGCCAUGUGUAAGACAAAAUGGAAGUACCAGAGCUUCCCCUCAGACAACAAAAUCAUCACUAAAUUCUGCACUGUGUUAAUUAAUGAUUAUGGGACAGCUGUGCAUCAGGUGCUGAGGCAAACAGCUUUCAGCUUCAUGUUUUAUAAUACACCUGGGGCAGCUGCUUUUCCAUCCUUCUCCAUUCUGCUGCAUGUUUAUUUAGUACAUUUGAGCAUUCCUGGCUUUGAAGCUCAUCUUGUUUAUGGUGACAGGUGCACCUUGUGCUGCGGAGAGCACUAACUCAUUGUUAGGAAAGGAUGGAGGGAAGAUGGCAGCUGAGCAACUUCAUGUUUUAACACACAUCAGCUGUAUUUAAAAUGUGCUAAUGUUGCACAGGGGAGGAGGGGGUCAAGGGAUGUUUUCUUUCUGUUAAAUCUACCCUGUAUAUAUAUAUACACACACACAUUUCUGAAUGGUAAAAAUAACUGAAAUUCCAAAAGUAAACAGUGGCUUUUAAUUUGUUAGCACGCUACAAAACGCCUAUUUCUAAAGAAUGAUGCAGUUUUCCUAGUUACAUUGUGAAAUAACUUCCAAGGAUGUUGCAUCAGGUAAUCUGGACUAACUGUGUUUAGCACAACACAUUUGUGUAAAUAAGUAGGUUGUCAAGGCAAAUGUGUUUUACAGUAUUUUUGAAGGUUGUUAGUCUGUUCUUGCUCCAUUUCCUCCUUUUAAUCAAUGCUGUACUAAUGAUCAUUCAGCCUUUGAUUCUAAAACUGAUUCAAUUUUUCUGUUGGUGGGAGAUGAUCAUUUGAGAACACUUAGAAGGUUUAGGUGGGAUUUGGCAGAAACCUGCAUCAAAGAAACUUUGAACAACUCUGUGAUGAUGCCAGUCUUGAAGUUCCAAAGCAUAGAAUAUUUUUCUGAAUUCUGCUGAAUAGUGAUGCAUUUUUUUCUGUUGUUUCUAUUCACAUCACCACUGAUUACUAAGAUAUCUGUGUGUAAACAAAAGCUUUCUCAUCUAUAAUUAGCCUUCUCUGACUGAUUAAGGAACAUGCUUAGAAUGAGGACAUGCUUAAAUAGAAUGCUGCUAUUUAAACCCACGUAACUUCAUAAUCAACCACUAGAUACAGAAGAAAAAUACUUGAUAAUUUAAAUGCAAUAAGAUUGCCUGAGUAUAACAAAAAUGCUCUUAAGAUAUUACUUUUCUGCUUCAGCAGAUUAUAAAAUCCUCUAGUACCUGAAUUACAAAUUACUUCACUUGGAGCCCUUUUAAAGUGGAAAUUAUCUGUGCUGACUAGCUUGUGCUCCUGAAGGAUUAAGUUCUGAGUAUUUGUAACUUCAUAUUUACAGUUACUGCAUCAAAUACAUCUUCCUCAUUACACAGUCUAGCAAUAGUUGAGAGGAUGCUUUGAAAUUGUGUAACUGAUGCUGUUUAGUCUACCCUGUGUGUAUGUGUGUGUGUAUAUAUAUAUGUACACACACACACAUUUCUGAAUGGUAAAAAUAAGUGAAAUUCCAAAAGUAAACAGUUGUUCUUUUUUCAUUUAAGUACUUUAUUAUCAAUAAUAUGGGAUUCCUUCUAGACAAAAACUGUGUAUUUCAACAUGUUUUACUUUUUGUGUGUGUAGUAUUCAUUUUACAUCACAUAAGCUUGCAAGGUUUAGUAGUUAGAAUAAAUCAUCAUACAGCGCUUCCGAACUUUAUCUUCACUUCUGGAUCUGAUUCACUGUAUGACCCUGGACAAUAUGCUUAAUGACAGUGAUAUGCUGUCUAUAUUUUACAAGGAGCAUUUACCACAGAAUUGCCUUUUCUCUCUUCAUCUACUAGCUGAGUUUACAUGUUUGAGUUUAAAUGCUUAAAUUGAACUGUCCCAAACUAAGGAAAUAAAUACUUUAAUUAGGCAUCUUAGAAAAUAAUUUGUUUCCUUCUUCAACCAUUUCAUGCAGUUAUCAUUAGUUAUAGGUCAAGAUUGAAGAGAGAGCAGAAGUUGCC